This is a small nucleolar RNA of Engraulis encrasicolus (European anchovy), 72 nucleotides long. Lineage: Eukaryota; Metazoa; Chordata; Actinopteri; Clupeiformes; Engraulidae. The record is from RefSeq and is a predicted model, not a curated record.
GGUGCAUAUGAUGUUUUUUGCGAUCAAAGCAUGAACUACAAUGAUUUCAUCCUUUAACACAACUGAUGCACC